CUGAACCAAGCUGUCAAACCCUCCCUGCCCGUCAGCAGUCCCGGUUUUUUUCUUUAGAGCAAACAGCCCAUCUGGCCCCAGUUGCGAUCCACGGGCGAGGUGGCCUCCCCGGAUGCGGGGGCAGGUUGGCUUCAGCUCUGCCGUGCGGAGUGUGGUGGUGGGCUUCUCAUCUGGUCUGCCCCCCACGCCCCCAACCCCGCCACCAAGGAUGGAGCUCACCCUUUCACAAUAAUUAGCUUGACUUUGGGAAAGCCCCCAGCCAAUGCCUGGCACACAACUGGCAUUCAAUAAAUACCAGGUGAGUGAGUGAAUGUUUCCACAAUCUCUCUCAGAGGAAAAACAUGUUCAUGUAACCCGCUUAUCUUUU
Long non-coding RNA from Neofelis nebulosa (Clouded leopard), 367 nucleotides. RefSeq lists it as uncharacterized. The record is from RefSeq and is a predicted model, not a curated record. NCBI's taxonomy places the organism in Eukaryota, Metazoa, Chordata, Mammalia, Carnivora, Felidae. The transcript has 3 exons.